RNAcentral lists this transfer RNA (72 nucleotides) under Mesitornis unicolor (brown roatelo). It matches the Rfam family "tRNA". Rfam says of the family: Transfer RNA (tRNA) molecules are approximately 80 nucleotides in length. Their secondary structure includes four short double-helical elements and three loops (D, anti-codon, and T loops). The record is from Rfam by way of RNAcentral. Lineage: Eukaryota; Metazoa; Chordata; Aves; Mesitornithiformes; Mesitornithidae.
GCUGUGAUCGUAUAGUGGUCAGUACUCUGCGUUGUAACUGCAGCAAUCUCGGUUCAAAUCAGAGUCAUGGCA